CGGUUAACUCCCAAACCCAAUGUGCACGUACACUGUUGCAUCGACGAUUUGGCCGGGGCGAUGCGACCAAGGCGCGGAACCACCAAACUUUGUACCCUCGCGGGUUUUUUUAUAUAUCUUAGCCUUCUCGGCGCCUUCGUAGGCGUUUCGAAAAUGAAUCAAAACUUUCAACAACGGAUCUCUUGGUUCUGGCAUCGAUGAAGAACGCAGCGAAAUGCGAUAAGUAAUGUGAAUUGCAGAAUUCAGUGAAUCAUCGAAUCUUUGAACGCACAUUGCGCCCGCCAGUAUUCUGGCGGGCAUGCCUGUCCGAGCGUCAUUUCAACCCUCGAACCCCUCCGGGGGGUCGGCGUUGGGGAUCGGCCCUCCCUUAGCGGGUGGCCGUCUCCGAAAUAUCAGUGGCGGUCUCGCCGCAGGCCUCUCCUGCGCAGUAGUUUGCACACUCGCAUCGGGAGCGCGGCGCGUCCACAGCCGUUAAACACCCAACUUCUGAAAUGUUGACCUCGGAUCAGGUAGGAU
RNAcentral lists this ribosomal RNA (516 nucleotides) under Trichoderma harzianum. RNAcentral describes it as "eukaryotic LSU rRNA". The stretch from base 163 to 316 matches the Rfam family "5.8S ribosomal RNA". Lineage: Eukaryota; Fungi; Ascomycota; Sordariomycetes; Hypocreales; Hypocreaceae. The record is from RNAcentral.